UGAACUAUAGAAUUAAUAUUGAACAAAUGUCAUAAUAAAGUUUUAAUUAACAAAAUUUAUGUUGCUUUCUUUUAAUUAAUUUUCAUGUUCACAACAUCAAGGAAUGGACUAUAAAAAAAGGGCUCUAAGGAUCUCUAAGGCCCAUUAGGCGCUCAACCAACAAGAGAAACAGAUUGGGCCUGAUUUCGUGAAGCCCAAGGGUCAAAGCCGGGACUUGGUCUGAUCCAAGAAUGAGGUCGGAUCUCUUACCGAACCUUUUGUCCUUCCACAGAGCAGCCGAAGAGGAAAGAAAAGAAACCUCUUUAUAAUUCCAAAGGCCACACGGGAAAUCGAUGAAACCGAGGCAGCCAUUAAUGACCACGGCGGAGAACCUCGGGCAGUGAGUGAGGAUAGAUUCCUCAUCAAUGCCACCUUAACACGCGUUUAAAGCCAAACAAAGAUCGGCAACGAAAUAAAGGCUCUCAAACUUCUGUUUUUUCAUCUAACUCUCCGUUUAUUUGCAAAGACUCGUUAUCUUCUUUAACAGAGCUCUUAAGACAAUCCCAAAAAUUUCAUUUCAAACAACAGCCAGACGGCAUCAACAUAUAUCAGAGACUAUGAAUAACCAUGGAGUUCUAUUAUAAAAUCUAAAGAUUCAAACACAACACAAGCAACUCAAAACGACAUACAUGGAUAGGCCAUAGAAACGUGAGGCGCAAAUCAAACGGAACGAGAAACUGGGCCACGCAUACACUCAAUAUUGUCAAAAUUGAAUUAGAUCAAAGAGUAAAGGGUUAAGAUUUUACCAACUCAAGAAGCUUCAGAGACGAAUAGAUAGGUAUGUGUUAUGUCUGCUCUUCCUUCUUCUCCGAUCUUCUUUUACGGUGCUUUCUCGUUCGUAUUCCCUUGAAGGAUUUGAGCUCUUCAGCUUUGGUUUUCAGUGUGAAAAUCAAAGCUGAGGGUUUUUUUUUAAUUGAGCUUUGAGUACAAGUUUCAGGGGAAUUUCAGCAGAGGUUCGAUAUCUCCCAUUUUCUCAAUGGGUGAGGCUCCCUUAUAUAGAGAGGUGGCACAAGGUUCGUACGUAGUAUGAGCUGGCGGCUCCAGCGGAUCAUUUCGUUUUGAAAACGAAUUUUCUCAGAUUUGUUGUGGUCCCUCAAAUGUGGUUGGUACACACAUUUUGUUUUUAGUGAAAGGAGUAGCUUUUUGUGCUAAUCUUCACUGCAUUCUUACCACUGUAACUCUUGGUUUCGCUUAUGGGUGGUCUUCUUUAUUACAAAAAUUGGUAGACGACACACUUUCUGCAACAAGCUUAUUGCAAUAUUGGUUAGGGCUUGAUGAUCAGUCGUCGUAGACUUGCACUCUGAUUUUGCAGCAGGUUGGUGUUGCCUUUGGCAGCAUGGUUCUCGUAGCCAAAUGGAUUACAUGAACUGCCAUGGUUUUGAUCAUCCUUCAAUCUCUGAUACAUGGAGACAGCUGACACCAGAUUGGUGAACACUUUUCAAAAGAUUUGUUCGGCAUUGAAGAGGUCACAUUUGCGGUAGAACUGAUGCUUCCAGCCUUGUCCCUUGGCUUUUGAAGUCUCCAUCUCGUUAUUUAAUUUUUCCUUUGAUAAACCACGACUGUAAAAUCUCCAUUGCCUGCCCUCCUGACUUCCUCCACUUGUGCGUGAUUGUCUCUAACAAUAAGGAACUUUUCUUCAUCCCAAACCAAAACUCUUGUAGCAUCCGAACAAGCAACAAUAACAAACAAAAUCAAUAUCCUGGAACCCGAACAUUUAACAAGAAAAGUGGUGACUGUAAGAUAUCUCCAUCUAUCCUUACGUUCGUCUCUGGCCAAGAUCACUAAUUCCAGCUUCCCUUCUGCAUUGCUAUUGGAGCUGCUGCUAGAUGUUUCUUAUAAGUUUCGUUCGUGUAGUUGUUUGCAGUUCCAUUUGGAGUGUUGCGCUUUGGUUCGUUGUAGCUUUAACUUUUGGAGGCUUGCGCUUUGGUUCGUUGCGCUUUCGUUCGUGUAGUUGUUUGCUGGUCUGAUUGUUAUAAGGGUUUAAGUCACGGUGAUGGCGAAUUCAUGAUGCUUGGCUUGGCUUUGUUGUUGUAGUGUUUCCAGGCUGAUGUAGAGCAACAACAUUUUGCCCUGUUUGGCCUUUAGGGCCUUUACGGUAUUACAAACGUAUUGCAGGCGAUGCUUGUUACAACGUUCACAUCGGCGGUGUGUUGCGCAGCAAGGUUGUUACCUACCAUGGUUCAUUCGUCUCCUUAGGGUGUGACGGUUCAUUCUCGAAAUAACCGUGCUAUAAGGAUUGGAAAUUGGAGCCUUCACCAAUGAUUUCAACAAAAAUCAAAGCAGAGCUUGAGGAUGUGAUCAAGAUUAGGAUGAUUUGCUGUCUUCUUUUUGGUUUAAACUUUUUAAUUUUACUUCGAACAGUAAAUCCCUUUUUCUUGGAUGGUAAUUCAUGGCUCUUGCUUCGAAUCUUUAUGGUUUAAACAGUACGUCUUCGACUGAAA
Molecule: long non-coding RNA, 2480 nt
Organism: Lathyrus oleraceus (garden pea)
Lineage: Eukaryota; Viridiplantae; Streptophyta; Magnoliopsida; Fabales; Fabaceae
Exons: 7
Source: RefSeq, a predicted model, not a curated record